AACCAAGUGUGCUUCAGUAGUUCCACUUGACGCACACAAGAGCCUCCCCUUUCUCCCCUGCAACAACGCACACACCGUACCCUUUUUUCCCUACCUAACGGCAACAGUAGGUCAGCAGUGUUCAAUCGCGGUGCACUCUUCCAUGUACGAUGACGGCGCGGUGCUCUCCUCGACAGGCGAUGACGCGGUUCUCUCCUCAAUCCCUAACAUAGCCACUGUAACAACGCACACACCCUUUCUCCCCUUCCUAACGGCGACAGUAGCGUUCAAUCGCGGUGCACUCCUCCGCUACGGCGAAGGCGCGGUGCUAUCCUCGACAGACAACGGCGCGGUUCUCAAGCCUAACAUAGCCACUGCAACAACUCACAAACCCUAACAUAGCCACUACAACAACUCACAAACCCUUUCUCUCCUUCCUAAUGGUGACAGCAGCGCUCAAUCGCGGUGCAUUUCUCCACGUACGGCGACGACGCGGUGCUCUCCUUGACGGGCGCGGUGCUCAAUCGCGAGAAACCCCCUCUCCCUUCUCUUCUCCUUCUUGUUCUUACUCUGUUCGUCCGUUUCCAGAUUUGACUGCAACUUGCUUAUGGUUGGAUGAAGUUUUUUGAAGAGAUAAAGGCGAUUCUUGGCACAUUGGUGAAGCACAAAGUCUUUUUGGUUUCAAAUGAAAAAAAUAAUUUCUUUUUUGUUCAAGUUCAUCAUGAAAAAAACAUGUAUUUUGUUUAUUUAUGUUUAUUAUUUAUUUGACUUGGUAACUUAGCAAGUAUGUUUAUUGGCACUUGGAACACCUUUUUAUAUACAUGUAAUAUAUAUUAUUAGUUUAUUCUUCCUA
Non-coding RNA from Arachis ipaensis, 832 nucleotides. The record is from RefSeq and is a predicted model, not a curated record. NCBI's taxonomy places the organism in Eukaryota, Viridiplantae, Streptophyta, Magnoliopsida, Fabales, Fabaceae.